AAUGAACGCUGGCGGCAGGCCUAACACAUGCAAGUCGAACGGAUCCUUCGGGAUUAGUGGCGGACGGGUGAGUAACGCGUGGGAACAUACCCAAAGGUACGGAAUAGCCUCGGGAAACUGGGAGUAAUACCGUAUGUGCUCGAAAGAGGAAAGAUUUAUCGCCUUUGGAUUGGCCCGCGUUGGAUUAGGUAGUUGGUGGGGUAAUGGCCUACCAAGCCGACGAUCCAUAGCUGGUUUGCGAGGAUGAUCAGCCACGGUGGGACUGAGACACGGCCCAGACUCCUACUGGAGGCAGCAGUGGGUAAUCUUAGACAAUGGGGGAAACCCUGAUCUAGCCAUGCCGCGUGAUCGAUGAAGGCCUUAGGGUUUUAAAGAUCUUUCAGGUGGGAAGAUAAUGACUGUACCACCAGAAGAAGCCCCGGCUAACUCCGUGCCAGCAGCCGCCGCCG
Molecule: ribosomal RNA, 449 nt
Filed under: uncultured bacterium
Lineage: Bacteria
Description: partial 16S ribosomal RNA
Rfam family: Bacterial small subunit ribosomal RNA
Source: RNAcentral